AUCUAUGUCCAUACCACCCUAAAAGUGCACGACCUCAUGUGAUCUCAGAUCCUAAGCAGGGUCAGGCCUCGAUAGUACUAGAAUGGGAGAAAUAAACAUGAAAAUACAGGGAUAUAAAAA
Molecule: ribosomal RNA, 120 nt
Filed under: Sorex araneus (European shrew)
Lineage: Eukaryota; Metazoa; Chordata; Mammalia; Eulipotyphla; Soricidae
Source: RNAcentral